This 357-nucleotide transfer-messenger RNA is filed under the name Porphyrobacter sp. CACIAM 03H1. It matches the Rfam family "Alphaproteobacteria transfer-messenger RNA". From Rfam's summary of the family: Bacterial tmRNA, also known as 10Sa RNA or SsrA, is named for its dual tRNA and mRNA-like properties. The record is from RNAcentral. Lineage: Bacteria; Pseudomonadati; Pseudomonadota; Alphaproteobacteria; Sphingomonadales; Erythrobacteraceae.
UCACUUCACAUUAAGCUGGCGAUCGCUAUAUGGGGUCUCGCCGGUUUCGGCCGGCUAUGACGAUAAACUGCUGCGUGCAAUAGACGCAACGGACCCGGGGGCAGUACCCGGCGGCUCCACCAGAAGGGGCGGUCAGCGAAGAUUGGCCGCAACUCCUGACGGGGCCGAACCAGGAUCGACGUGUGUUGAAAAGCGUAGUUUUCGUCCGGGCUGAGUAACCCGUUAAAGGCUCAAAACCCAUAAGUGCCAACGACAACGAAGCACUUGCUCUCGCUGCGUAAUGUGACGGCCUAGCGGCCUGAAUUUACAAAGCUACGAGCACGGUUCGGACCGAACCGGGUAACAGAAUCGGAAACC